RNAcentral lists this ribosomal RNA (446 nucleotides) under Allolobophora chlorotica. RNAcentral describes it as "partial large subunit ribosomal RNA". It matches the Rfam family "Bacterial large subunit ribosomal RNA", at positions 1820 to 2567 of the family's 2925-position model. Lineage: Eukaryota; Metazoa; Annelida; Clitellata; Crassiclitellata; Lumbricidae. The record is from RNAcentral.
UUCUUGCAAUCAAUAAGAAGUAAUUCCUGCCCAGUGAUAUUAUUCAACGGCCGCGGUACCCUAACCGUGCAAAGGUAGCAUAAUCACUUGCCCAUUAAUUGUGGGCUAGAAUGAACGGACUAACGAAAUAAAAACUGUCUCUAUAAGUCUCAUAAAAAUUAAUCUCUAACUGAAGAGUGUUAGAUUAAAUCGAAGGACAAGAAGACCCUAUAGAACUUCAUUUUAAUAAAGACUUAAACUUUAAUAAAAUUUGGUUGGGGCGACCGGGGAAAACUAAUCAUCCCUUAUUAAAAGAUAAAUAAAUCUAAAUGCUGACCCUUAACAAAGAUCACAAGAACAAGCUACCUUAGGGAUAACAGGCUAAUCCUAUUAAAGAGUCCUUAUCAAUAAUAGGGGUUGGCACCUCGAUGUUGGCUUAGGGAAUCUAUGCGGCGCAAAAGUCACAU